Molecule: small RNA, 965 nt
Filed under: Pongo abelii (Sumatran orangutan)
Lineage: Eukaryota; Metazoa; Chordata; Mammalia; Primates; Hominidae
Description: retained intron
Source: RNAcentral
CACCGCACCACGCUGUGCCCACAGAAAUGUGGACGUCGGCACCCUCCCUACCGCGCCUGGUACGGGAACCCGUCCGCUGCACCUGCUCCGCGCAGGGCACCGGUUUCUCCUGCCCCAGCAGUGUGGGCGGGCACCCGCCCCAGAUGCGGGUGGUCACAGGCGACAUCCUGACCGACAUCACCGGCCACAACGUCUCUGAGUACCUGCUCUUCACCUCCGACCGCUUCCGACUGCACCGGUAUGGGGCCAUCACCUUUGGAAACGUCCUCAAGUCCAUCCCAGCCUCAUUUGGCGCCAGGGCCCCACCCAUGGUGCGGAAGAUCGCGGUGCGCAGGGCUGCCCAGGUUUUCUACAACAACAAGGGCUAUCACAGCAUGCCCACCUACCUCAACAGCCUCAAUAACGCCAUCCUGCGUGCCAACCUGCCCAAGAGCAAGGGCAACCCGGCGGCUUACGGCAUCACCGUCACCAACCACCCCAUGAAUAAGACCAGCGCCAGCCUCUCCCUGGAUUACCUGCUGCAGGGCACGGAUGUCGUCAUUGCCAUCUUCAUCAUCGUGGCCAUGUCAUUCGUGCCGGCCAGCUUCGUCGUCUUCCUCGUGGCCGAGAAGUCCACCAAGGCCAAGCACCUGCAGUUCGUCAGCGGCUGCAACCCCAUCAUCUACUGGCUGGCAAACUACGUGUGGGACAUGCUCAACUACCUGGUCCCCGCUACCUGCUGCGUCAUCAUCCUGUUUGUGUUCGACCUGCCGGCCUACACGUCGCCCACCAACUUCCCUGCCGUCCUCUCCCUCUUCCUGCUCUACGGGUAAGGGGGAGCGGAGCGGGGAGCGGCCUCAGGUGGGGCCGGGGCUGCCUGGUGACCACUGCCCGCCACCUGCCCGCAGGUGGUCCAUCACGCCCAUCAUGUACCCAGCCUCCUUCUGGUUCGAGGUCCCCAGCUCGGCCUACGUGUUCCUCAUUGU